RNAcentral lists this transfer RNA (70 nucleotides) under Phelsuma laticauda (broad-tailed day gecko). Its description in RNAcentral is "partial tRNA-Tyr". The record is from RNAcentral. Lineage: Eukaryota; Metazoa; Chordata; Lepidosauria; Squamata; Gekkonidae.
GUAGGGUGGCCGAGGGUUAGGCGGCGAGUUGUAGCCUCGUUUACAGGGGCAAGUCACUCACUACCAUACC